RNAcentral lists this ribosomal RNA (365 nucleotides) under uncultured bacterium. RNAcentral's name for it is "bacterial SSU rRNA". It matches the Rfam family "Bacterial small subunit ribosomal RNA", at positions 30 to 395 of the family's 1533-position model. The record is from RNAcentral.
AUUGAACGCUGGCGGCGUGCUUAACACAUGCAAGUCGUGCGGUAACAGGCGUAGCAAUACGUGCUGACGAGCGGCGAACGGGUGCGUAAUACAUGGGAAUCUGCCCUUUAGUGGGGAAUAACCCGGCGAAAGCCGGGCUAAUGCCGCAUAAGAUCUUCGGAUGAAAGCGGGGGAUCGUAAGACCUCGCGCUGAUGGAUGAGCCCAUGUCGGAUUAGCUAGNGGUGAGGUAACGGCUCACCAAGGCGACGAUCGGUAGCUGGUCUGAGAGGACGACCAGCCACACUGGGACUGAGACACGGCCCAGACUCCUACGGGAGGCAGCAGUGGGAAUCUUGCGCAAUGGGCGAAAGCCUGACGCAGCGAC